GCAUAAUCAUUUGCCUUUUAAUUGGUGGCUAGUAUGAAUGGACAAACGCGAAUUUAACUGUCUCCCUAGCACAAAUAAAAAUUAAUCUUUAGGUGAAGAAGCCUAAAUCACUAUUAAAGACAAAAAGACCCUGUAGAGCCUUACUCAAACAUACUUUAAAUUAAAACACAGUUAGAGUCUAGUUGGGGCAACUAAGGCACACCAAAAGAAGCCUAUAUAAAAAUUCGGCGACCAGGCCAAAAAAUGACCCAAAUUUUGAUCACCGGUAUAGGCUACCUCAGGGCUAACAGACUAAUUUCUUUUAAGAGUCCAAAUUAACAAAGAAGUUUAGCACCUCGAUGUUGGCUUAGGGGCCCGAAAGGCGCAGGAGCCUUUUUAGGUAGGUUUGUUCAACCUUUAAACCCCU
Molecule: ribosomal RNA, 406 nt
Filed under: Paraonides sp. 46 PB
Lineage: Eukaryota; Metazoa; Annelida; Polychaeta; Paraonidae
Description: partial 16S ribosomal RNA
Rfam family: Bacterial large subunit ribosomal RNA
Source: RNAcentral